RNAcentral lists this ribosomal RNA (304 nucleotides) under uncultured bacterium. Its description in RNAcentral is "bacterial SSU rRNA". It matches the Rfam family "Bacterial small subunit ribosomal RNA", at positions 28 to 334 of the family's 1533-position model. The record is from RNAcentral.
GAUGAACGCUAGCGGCAGGCCUAAUACAUGCAAGUCGAACGAUCGUUUUUAGUUUACUAAUAACGGAGUGGCGCACGGGUGCGUAACGCGUAUAGAAUCUGCCUCAUACUGAGGGAUAGCCUUUGGAAACGAAGAUUAAUACCUCAUAGUAUCAUUUAACGGCAUCGUUUAGUGAUUAAAGGUUACGGUAUGAGAUGACUAUGCGUCCUAUUAGUUAGUUGGUAAGGUAACGGCUUACCAAGACUACGAUAGGUAGGGGCCCUGAGAGGGGGAUCCCCCACACUGGUACUGAGACACGGACCAG